UACGUAGGGUGCGAGCGUUGUCCGGAAUUAUUGGGCGUAAAGGGCUCGUAGGCGGUUUGUCGCGUCGGGAGUGGAAACAUCCAGCUUAACUGGGUGCUUGCUUUCGAUACGGGCAGACUAGAGGUAUGCAGGGGAGAACGGAAUUCCUGGUGUAGCGGUGAAAUGCGCAGAUAUCAGGAGGAACACCGGUGGCGAAGGCGGUUCUCUGGGCAUGAUCUGACGCUGAGGAGCGAAAGCGUGGGGAGCGAACAGG
Molecule: ribosomal RNA, 253 nt
Filed under: uncultured bacterium
Lineage: Bacteria
Description: partial 16S ribosomal RNA
Rfam family: Bacterial small subunit ribosomal RNA
Source: RNAcentral